UAUCCUAAUGGCUUUCUUCUGCAGUAUGAAUAUUCCAUUAUUCUCUAUACUUUUUCCCCAAAAAAUAACUCCAUAUCUCAUAACUGACAGAAAAUAAGCAUGAUAUACAAAAAGAACAGUUUUUUCACUCCCUACUCUAGCCAUUACUCUUAAUGCAAACAAGGCUCUAUUCAAUUUACCAGUGACAUGAGAAAUAUGAAGCUUCCACUUCGAAUCACUCUCCAUUAUCAGACCCAAGAAUGUCGUGGAAUCAGAAGUUUCAACUCUACUUUGCGUAUUCAAGUUUAUUCCAAAACUUUUAUAGUCUCUACUGAAGGGAAUUACUUUAGUUUUUUUGCAGUUCAAACUAAGACUAUUCUGAUCAAACCACGAAUCUAAUUCAGCAAGACACCUCUCAGCCUCUCUUAUCAAACAUUCACUGUUCCUACUGGUGAUUAAAGCUGUAGUGUCGUCCGCAAAAAGAGAGAGUUUGAAAUUGACGUGACUCUCGAUGUCAUUAACAUAGACCAGCUGAGUUUGAAAUUGACGUGACUCUCGAUGUCAUUAACAUAGACCAGGUAUAAGAGGGGACCCAAUAUUGAACCCUGCGGUACUCCCUGAGACAU
Molecule: long non-coding RNA, 605 nt
Organism: Nilaparvata lugens (brown planthopper)
Lineage: Eukaryota; Metazoa; Arthropoda; Insecta; Hemiptera; Delphacidae
Exons: 3
Source: RefSeq, a predicted model, not a curated record